This 34631-nucleotide long non-coding RNA is filed under the name Ananas comosus (pineapple). RNAcentral describes it as "long non-coding RNA (ACOM_LNC003504)". The record is from RNAcentral. Lineage: Eukaryota; Viridiplantae; Streptophyta; Magnoliopsida; Poales; Bromeliaceae.
GCUCACCGUCUGUUAUUUGGGGUGGUAAAGCCAUCCAUAUGCUCACAUGGAGAGGAUUGGUCGUCGAGUACUCUGGAGUGUCGGGCGAUAGGAUAGAGUUGUCCGCAGACAGUCCCGGGUUCGGGGGCACAUAGAGCCUCUUUGCCCAAUGGGAUGGAUAUGUGAGUCGUAGGCAAACCCAAGGGUUUUGCCACAGAUUGGGCAAAUGAAAAGUUAAUAAUGACAUUGAACAUUGCUUAUCGAACAUGAAUCGAAUUUGUUAGCAUGAUAGUAACCUUCUACUAUAUGAUGUAUGCAUUCAUUACUCAUGAUUAUAAGCAUAGUAGCAUAGUUUGCCUAUUAUGUCAUUACAGCUUUGAUAUAUAUCUAUCUAUCUCGUUGUUACUUGUGCCCACUUGGACCUAGUGGGAAGAUCGGCGGAGUUGGCGGCCGAGCCCACUGGAAACUAUGGAAGAUAGUUCUCACCCCACUCUAUUUCCAAGGCUAGGUACAGGUUUGCCGGGCGAGUACCGCGGCAGGGGCAUCGCGCCCGACCAGUGAGGAUUUUUGGUAGAGUAGUAGCUUUCCUUUUGCAUUAGCACACCUAGGUAUUUGAGAGAGAUUUAUGUAGGUGAGGAUUUGGAGAGCUAUGUAUUUUGAUGACACUAGUGAACAUGUAUUCAUUUUGGAGAAAAAUGUAAAUGUAAAAGAAUGUGAAGUAAUUGGAUGCAAUUAAUGUAAUAGCUAGUAGUUCUCUCUUUAUUUCACUUGUGUAUCUUGUGGAUUACUUGCUCUUUGUUGUUGGCACUGUUUGUGCCCCGUUGAUUGUGUACUUAUAGAAUUUAAAAUCCUGGGUAAAUUCUUGUACUUGAUCUGUUGUUGAGCCUUGGGUGGACAGGGGAGGUGCUAUCCGUUCGGGGUCCGUUCGCCGCGCCCGAACCGUGCCAAAUUGGUAGGAGUUUCGGGGCGGGGGCGUGACAGAGCGUGGUAUCAGAGCAAUAAGAGCAGGUAAAGGGAGAAAGUCUAGGAUGAUCUAGGAGACCCUAGGUUGGUAAACCCUAAGGCUAUAGGUGCGUGGGCGGAACGUGAACCUAUAACGGUGGCGGGAGUUAAUUCGAUUAGGUCGAAGUUGGUGAUAUGUCUCUAGUAAUUGCUAGAGAUGGAUUCAAGUGGUAUUAGUUCUUGAUUUGAGGUGAUUAUGUCUGCGGCCGACGACAUGAUACCAAGAGUCUAGAAUGAGUACACUUGUGUGCUUCCGCCCGAUUUUGUUGUUGAGUCGUUAUGUGCCGUAAUUUCGACGAGGUAAUUAGUUAAGAUGACUAACCAAGUAUUUGCAUUUCAGGAACUAAUGUCUCCAAGACGCUACAAACGUAGAUCCGCCCUGGCACCGUCUCCUGAGGUGCCUGAGCAGGCUGGAUCAAGCGAGAUAAAUCGGUUGUAGGCACAAGUGACCGCAUUGGUUGGUGUGGGACCCUGGUUCUCCCUCGAAGCUGCCGCCUGCUGAAGUAGGAAGUCCUCAAGAUAAUUCAUCCGCGUCUCCUGCCGCUGAGCCACCUCAGCCUGUCGCUGCGCCGCUGCCGUCUGCUACGCCAACAGAUCAAUGAGGACCGCAAGCUGGGUCCUCAAGUCACGGACCUCACUAGAUCCGGAAGUAGCGGAGGUCUCGACCUCCUCGGGGUGUGCCGCAUCAUCCGCCCCGGCAGACUGGGAGCGUGUAACCGGUAUCGUCACUACAAAAUAUAAAAGCGCAAGUUAGUAACCUACGCUAUCGCAUCCCCGCUCAAGAAGAUAAAACCCCAAAUCAUGCGAAAGUAAGGAAGUGUCCUUCACUACUAACUCCCGAUGUUACGUUGUCGGCCGCCAACGUAACCCUCCGCGAAGUUAGAAGCCAUACACUUGGAUCGAACUCUAACUUUUUAGAGUUAUCAUCAAACCCAAUCGAAAUGCUUUCGCUCACAAGUCAAUUAGACAUCGUCUCUCACGAGCCUAUUUCCUAUAGUCCAACUGGCCUAAAGUUUGCUAGGUCCACUAAGACGCAACCCUAGGCUCUGAUACCAAACUAAUCUGUCACGCCCCGGGACCGGCAGAGGCCCUCCCGGUAGCGCGCCCAGACCCGCCAUAUGUCAACACAUAUAAGACAUCUAAAAUAACAGCGAAAAUAAAACCAAAGAUAAUCUACAUUUAGAGAUAUCAGAGCACAGAUAGUUCUAUAAUCUAUAAUAAGGUAAACGGAAAAUACUAAACAAUAGAGGUGAAAUAUAUAGUUAUACGAUAUUCGUCCAAAAAGGUACACAAAAGGGUGGCCUCUAACACACUGGUACAACUCUCGACCUCACCAAAAUAAUAUACAUCGAGAGGUAGACUACCUAGAACUCGUCACUCGCUGAAGAGCCAGCUCGAAGCAACGUCCUUCCCACGGUCCCUAGGCUCUCCCGGCGUGGAAGGCUCUGAAAGGAAACAUAAAACAGAAGGCGUGAGAAUUAUAAUUUAUAGUUCCCAGUGGGCAAUUACUUACCUCAGCUCUAUGCACCACUAGGCCCCAAAAGAAAAGGGGUAAGCAUUAUAAGCAAUGAUAAUAAAGAUAACUACAAUAAGAAAACAUAAUGGAAUGCUAAGCUACUAUAUCUCAAGUAAACAUGAUGUAGGUAUGAUGUACAUCUACUCUAUCAUAAUGCCCGCACGUCCAAUGGCAACAAGUGCUACUGUCCAAGAUGUCAUACACAAAGAAUAAGCUCUAUCAAGCAACCCAGUAUACUAUGAUGCAAUGAAUGAAACAGGCAAGUAUACUAUAUAUCCCAAUGCUAUGUCAUGAGCAUGUCAAGUAAUCCAACUACUAAGCCUAUCUAGUAGAGAUUAUUCAAUCUCAACACUAUGUCGAUUUUCAUUUCCAAUUAAGAAUCUACCAAAGGUAGUCCAGCUUGUGCCGCCUAAGUGCCUGUGGUAGCCCUACAUCCCUACUCUUGGAAUGUGUCUAUCCCACUCGACCCCGUAGGCUUCUCAAUACCGCACGAGCGAACAUAGGUCGCAUAGGCUAACUUCGGAGUGCCGGCUUGUAGGAAACGACCCUCACAAGCAUAUGCGAAUGAGCACAAAUGGCAAGCAAGCGUAGUCAACGUCUCAAGUAUCCAAUCAUCAUGGCUCUAACAUGGUAUAGUCACUAGCAUCUCGAAGAUCUAGUUCUAUGUCACAAUGUGAUAGCUCAACACUCACUUGCUUAGUGCCUCUUUAUGACACUUAAGCAUCACAACUAAUCAAGCUCAAUUCAUGUUCUAUGUUCCAAAUAUGACAUUAAUACCAAUGUUCACUAUAGCCCGGGGUCCAAUGCCUAUUUAUGACAUUGGCCCAAUUUCUCAAAUAGUCUAACUCCCCAAGCCUCCCAAGGCUUCCAAGUCCCUAAUGUCACAAUUAGGCAUAAGGUUAAAUGCAAGAAAGCAAUGUUCAUUUUCAUAAUAGGAAUCAUGGUUCCAAGUUUCCAUUAGAAUGCUACAUCCCACAUGCAUGCACCUACCACAUAGAGGUCCAAAAAUUUACUAUACAUAAUGUAUGCAUGUUAAGCAUUCUAAAAUUCAUAAUAAAUAUAUCUAACAUGAUUAUGCAUACUUUUUCAUUUAACGAUACUCCAAACAUCACAAAUAAGAUUUUCUCAUUGUGUGGCUAGGUCAAACCCACCGAACCGUCGCGUAGUCCCUCGAUUCGCCGAACGGAGUUGUCCACGAGUCUCAAAAUACCCUAAAAGUAUUGAGCGAAGAGAUACACGGGCAUUACGAUCAACUAUAAGAUCAAACAUUAACAACCAAGGCAAAAGUUCUAAAACUCACCUAAUGAGUGGAAAAUCUCUCUCAAGCUCCAAAGGAAGGCUAGGAUCCUUCCAAGGCAACCUAAACCAAGGUUCUAAUCUUAUUAGAUUAGCUCAAAAAGCCUCCAAGCAAAAAGCCCAAAAUAAACCCUAGAUUUCCCAUUCUAGGGUUUCAUCCCCCAAAAUCUACCAAAGCUAGGUCUAGAGGGAAGAAACAAAAAAACCAACCUCAAGAGAACUCCAUUCCAAGCUCCAAGGGUGAAGAUCUUCUCUCUUGCAAGCUCCAAGUCCAAGCUCCAAGCACCAAGGAAGAAGAGAGGGUGAGGAAGAUGCUCCAAGUCCACUAGUUGCUCUCAAUCUUCUUCUUCUUCCUUCCUUCUUCUCCUCCUUCUUCUUCUUCUUCUUCUCUAUCAAGGGUGUAGAGAGAGUUGAGGGAAGAGAAAUGAGGAGAAGAGAGAGUGGAUGGGUCAUAUAGACCAUCUAUUGCAACAAAAUCCAGCUAGGUCCCUCAAAAAUCCAAAAUUGCAUCAGCCCGGUCUGGGCAAUUUUCGCCCAGAGGGACCGGUCUCUCCCUGCAAGGGACCGGUCUCUCGCUGCUAACCCGAAAAACCAACACUCGGGAACUGGUCUCUCCCUGCACGAGACCGGUCUCUCACUGCGUAGACGUGCUCGGGGACCGGUCUCGCCCGCCAGGGACCGGUUGCCUCACCGGCUGCGCAACACUGCUCACUAGGGGACCGGUCUCUCCUCUCAGGGACCGGUCCCCGAGAGUGAAAACUCUCAGGACUCGUCCAGAACUCAGGUUUUCGAACUUUCUAGGUCGAAAAAUAUUCUACGACCCUCCACCAAGUGUGGAAAAGCUCGAAACACAUCCAAUCACUCGAACCUCGCAAUUUGCAAAGGUCCAGUGUGUUACAUCCGCGGACUCAACAAAAAGGCCAUGGAGCGCGACGGUGCAUCAUAUGUGGUGGAGACCACCUGGUGUCACGUUGUGAGCAACGCCAAGGAAAGUGCUACAAGUGCGUGCAACCGGGGCACUUCAUACGGGAUUGCCCGGGAGGAGGAGCUUCACCUGCUCUGUCUAUUGCGUCAGCGCCGGCAGCUACGGCUCACCAUGGAGGAGCGCUACCGGCGGCAGCAUCAACAGGACGCGCGAUGGCCCCACGACAGCCCGAGAUGGCACGUUCGGCCCCGAGCGGACGGGUAUUUGCCGCUCAGGUCCAAGCCGAGGAGCCUGCGUAGGCGUAGGAGCAUCGCCUUGUGGUAGGUAUGGUUUUAAUUAACGGAGUGCGCUCCAGGGCUAUGUUUGAUAUAGGAGCCACGUAUUCGUUUAUCAGUAGAUCAUUCGCACGUAUGCAUGACAUACUCAUAGAGGCGAGUCACAAGUGGCGAGUUGAGGGCCCUGGAUCGACAUUUAACACCUACACGGAAUGCUCAUCGUGUCCAGUACAAGUAGGCGACUGGAUAAUGCCCAUUAGAAUGCUAGAGCUCAAGAAUCUUAAAGUGUUCGAUGUCAUAUUGGGCAUAGACUGGCUCUUAAAGUAUCAUGUAAUGAUCGACUGCAAGAGCAGAGUGAUUACAUUCCGAGAGCCAAGACAGAAGGAGUACACUUAUCGAGCUUGUCAGAACUCGUGCUUCGCAGCGACGGUGUUGGCGACGAGAGCAAGAAAGUUGGUCAACAGCGGUUGCGCAGCAUUCUUGGCAACCGUUGUAGAGGUGGACCGAGUGGCUCCGACCUUGGAGGAGUUAUCGGUGGUGCGGGAGUUCCCGGAUGUGUUUCCCGCGGAGUUACCGGGGAUACCACCGGAUCGGGAGAUCGAGUUCGUUAUAGACUUGAUUCCCGGUACCGCACCGAUCUUGAAGGCUCCGUACCGAAUGGCGCUGGCGGAACUUAAGGAGUUGAGGAGUCAGUUGCAAGAUCUUCUUGACAAACAGUUUAUCCGGCCAAGUGUAUCACUGUGGGGAGCCCCGGUGUUAUUUGUGUGGAAGAAGGACAGAUCGUUUCGACUCUGUGUGAAUUAUCGAGAGUUGAACAGAGUCACGAUCAAGAACAAGUACCCACUACCCCAGAUCGAUGACCUGUUUGAUCAGUUGCAGGGAUCGUGUGUGUACUCGAAGAUAGAUUUGCAGUCCGACUAUCACCAAUUGAAAAUCAAGCCGGAGGAUGUGUAGAAAAUCGCGUUCCGUAUGCGGUACGGGCACCAUGAAUUUACGGUCAUGCCAUUUGGACUCACGAAUGCUCCAGCGGCGUUCAUGGAUUUGAUGAACCGUGUUUUCAGAAAGUAUUUGGACCGAUUUGUCGUAGUCUUCAUAGACGACAUAUUGGUCUAUUCUCGUAGUGCCGAGGAACAUGCAGAGCAUUUAAGAUUAGUGCUUCAAGUUCUUCGGGAGGAGAAGCUAUAUACUAAGCUGAAGAAGUGUGACUUCUAGCUCCGAGAGAUUGCCUUCUUAGGGCAUGUGAUUUUCACGGGUGGAGUUUCAGUUGACCCUAGGAAAAUUGAGGUAAUCAAGGAUUGGCCACGCCUAACGAACGUCACGGAGGUUAGAAGCUUCGUGGGUUUGGCGGGCUACUAUAGACGGUUCGUGGAGGGCUUUUCGAAGAUAGUAAUUCCACUUACCCGUCUGACUCAGAAAGGCACCAAAUUCAUUUGGAGCGAAGAGUGUGACCGGAGUUUCAAAGAGUUGAAGGAAAGACUAACUUCGACUCCGGUACUCACUCUACCGGUGCAGGGCGAAGACUUCGUAGUCUACAGCGAUGCUUCCUAUCUAGGAUUGGGGUGUGUUUUAAUGCAAAACAGGAAGAUAAUUGCUUAUGCGUCCCGUCAGCUGAAGAGCUAUGAAAAGAACUAUCCCAUUCACUAUUUGGAGCUGACAGCAGUGAUCUUCGCUUUGAAGUUGUGGCGGCACAAUCUGUAUGGUGCGCAUUGGGAGAUCUAUACCGACCACAGGAGCCUAAAAUAUCUGUUCACACAGAAAGAGCUGAAUAUGCGACAGCAACGGUGGUUAGAAUUUCUAAAGGAUUAUGACGUGGACAUCCUUUGCCACCCCAGGAAGGCAAAUGUGGUCGCGAAUGCACUGAGCAGGAAGUCGGCGGAGAACCUCGCUAUGUGGGUUACAAAUCAAACACCCCUAUGGCUAGAUAUGGAGCGAAUGAACAUUGAGGUGGUUGCUCCCGAGAUUCCGGCUAAAUUGACUGCACUCGUUGUCCAACCGACCUUGUUGGAGAGAAUUAAGAAUCUGCAACCCGCAGACCCAUAACUCCAAAAGGUGCGGCGCGACAUCGAGAAGGGUCGUGGCGGCAAUUUCAUGGUAGACGCCAAUGGUGCUCUUCGAUUUCGAAAUCGAUGGUGUGUGCCGAAUAAUGAGGAGAUCCGAGAGCUAAUCUUGCAAGAAGCACACCGGUCUCCGUAUGCUGAUCACUCGGGCGGCACCAAAAUGUAUCAAGGAUUAAAAAUGCACUAUUGGUGGCCGGGAAUGAAAAGUGAUAUUGGACAUUUCGUGGCGAAGUGCUUAGUAUGCCAACAAGUAAAGGCCGAGCGUCGGUUUCCAGCAGGAAAGUUUCAAAGCCUACCAAUCCCGGUUUGGAAAUGGGAAGACAUAUCAAUGGACUUCGUGGUCAGCUUGCCUCGCUCAACGGGUGGCCAUGAUGCAAUUUGGAUAAUUGUGGACCGAUUGAUGAAGUCAACUCACUUUUUGCCGAUCCACACCACGUGGGCAAGCGACAAGUUAGCGCAGGUGUACCUUGAUGAGAUAGUGAGGCUGCACGGGGUGCCGAAAUCGAUCAUGUCGGAUCGCGACCCCCGGUUCACUUCACACUUCUAGAAAAGCCUGCAGGAGGCCCUUGGCACAUGGCUCGACUUCAGCAUAGUAUUUCAUCCUCAGACAGAUGGGCAAACAGAGAGGACCAUUCAAACUCUAGAGGAUAUGUUGCGAGCGUGUACCAUCGACUAUAAAGGGAGUUGGUGUGAACAUCUGCCAAUGGCCGAGUUCGCCUACAACAAUAGUUAUCACGCUAGUGUAGAGAUGGCACCAUUCGAGGCUCUCUACGGGCGAAAGUGUCGGUCUCCUAUACACUGGAGUGAUGUGGGUGAGCGUACAGAGUUCGGCCCGGACGUGUUGCGAGAAGCGGAGGAGAAAGUCCGCUUUGCUCGAAAGCGAUUGCUCACGGCGCAGUCGAGACAGAAAAGCUACACUGAUAGGCGCGGUCGAGACAUAGAGUUCGCGGUAGGCGACCACGUAUUCUUAAAAGUUUCGCCAAUGCGGGGUGUGAAGCGGUUUGCAAUGCGGGAAAAGUUGAGUCCCCGGUACAUUGGACCCUAUUAAAUAUUGGAGCGAGUUGGCACGGUGGUCAUGGACUUGCCUUGCCGCCGAAGCUCGCGGAUGUACAAAAUGUGUUCCAUGUCUCCAACCUUCGCAAGUACAUUCAUGACCCCAAGCACGCAAUGCUAUACGAGCCAUCGGAACUCCAAGAAGACUUGAGCUACGAGGAGUUUCCGGUGAUGGUUAUUCCCCGAGAGGUGCGAAAACUGUGAAAUCACGAGAUUCCCUAUGUGAAGAUCCGGUGGAGCAAUUAUGAUGAUCGCAAGGCCACCUGGGAACUCGAGAAUCUGAUGAGAAAGCAUCAUCUUCACUUGUUUGACGAAUAAGGUAUGGAAAUUGAGUUUAAAUUAAGUUGAAUUAGUUUCAAGGACGAAACUCUUUUUAAGGAGUGGAGGAUGUGAGAAAGUGAAUUCUCGAAACCCGAGAGUUAUACUUCGUCCAGGAUUGACUAAUUGUCGAGUGGGUAUCCUUUGAAAAAGCUAAGAUGUCCAAAACACAAAAAGUGCUUUGGAGUCGAGUCCAUGAGAGCAAAUAGUGCAAAAUCUGCACUUUGCAGAUUCUGCUCUCGGGGACCGGUCCUUGGCAGGGAAGGACCUGUCCCCGUAGCUGGUGGUUGCGGGAUUGCCUGAUGCAACUAGUCCCUGGGCUGAGGGACCGGUCCCCAUAGGUGAAAUCCGCGGGAGAAGUGAAUAUUUGGCUAAUUCUCGAGAGGUCAGCUCUCGGGAACCGGUCUCUCGGGAAGGACCGGUCCUCAAGGGUCCAGUCUCUCGGGCAGGGAUCGGUUUCCGUACGCAGGAAUUUUGGAAAAGUCCUCAGGGACCGGUCCCUCAUCUGGAGGACCGGUCCCUCCGCGCGAAAUCUGCCUAGGCACAGUAAGUUGAGAGGGUUAAAGUGGAGGGGCUUUUAUGCAAAAUGCCAUUGGUUAGAGGGUAUAGAGAGGAAAUCAUUCUCUCCCUCUCUCAUUCUAACUCUCCCUCUCACACACUCUCUCUCUCCCUCAGCCCUCCCUCUCUCUCAAGGAAAGAAAAGAGAAGGAGAAGAAAGAAAAGAGAAGAAGAAGAAGGAGGAGAAGAAAAAGAAGGGGGAGAGCUUGGAGAGAUCAUCUCCACCACCUUCUUCUCUCCCUCUUCAUCCCUUUGGAGUAGCUCAAGAGGUAAGCUACUAAACCCUAGCAUGUAGAACUAAGGGUUUUGGGUUUUUGGCUUUGGAAAUGGGUCAAAUGGACCUCUAGCACGCUUCUAAAUAGAUCAAUGCUAGAAUCUAGGGUUUGGAAGGAGAGGUUGCUAUAGGUGCAACCUAGGGCUCCAAAUUGGGGUCUUUGAUAAACGAUGAGAUUGAUCUCAUUUAGUGGCUUGUAAACAUAAUUGAUAGGUGUCUAAACGCAGGAACGAAGUUGGAUUUACGAUUCGUCAAGCGGGUGAAAAGCUAUCGGCAAGAUAUAGCCGAUUGAGCACCAUCUUGGACCAAGGAGGCCAAGACAUCGUCGUAACGUUCGGCGAGACGCAAUUCUAGAACCUUCAUACCCUCAAAAGGUGGGGGGUGUCAUCCUGAAGCAACCGAACUCUCUAUUGUGUCUUAGAAUAAUAUAUAAUCUCAUCUCUUACAUGUUGCAUUAUAGGAUUGCAUUGUAGUACCUUUCCUUAUGCUUCUAAAUGUUAAUCUAGUGUACAUAGAAUACUUGGUGAAUGGAUAGGUAAGGAUUGGAUCAGAACAUGGAUCCUAUAGUCCUAAAGGAAAGAGAUGAACUCAAUGGUUAUUUAGUGACAUAGAGAGUGACAUCUAAAUGUUUAAAGAACAGAACGAGUGGCAUUAUGUAGUGUAUUUGAUACUAGAGGUUCAUGAACUUAGGGAUAGGUGGAUUCCCUAGAAAAUGACUCGUGAACAAUGAACUUAGUAAAGCUAAGUAACUAUGCAUGAAAGUCGGAAUAGGUGAGUUCCGAGAGAAAUGUUGGCCCUAGUUCGUAGGGUAUUCUCACGUGGAGAGGAUAGAUCAAGCUCACCGUCUGUUAUUUGGGAUGGUAAAGCCAUCCAUAUCCUCACAUGGAGAGGAUUGGUCGUCGAGUAUUCCGGAGUGUCGGGCGAUAUGACAGAGUUGUCCGCAGACAGUCCCGGGUUCGGGGGCACAUGGAGCCUCCUUACUCAAUGGGAUGGAUAUGUGAGUCAUAGGCAAACCCAACGGCUUUGCCACAGAUUGGGUAAAUGAAAAGUUAAUAAUGAUAUUGAACAUUGCUUAUCGAACAUGGAUCGAAUUUGUUAGCAUGAUAGUAACCUUCUACUAUAUGAUGCAUGCAUUCAUUACUCAUGAUUAUGGAUAUAGUAGCAUAUUUUUCCUAUUAUGUCUUUACAGCUUUGAUAUAUAUCUAUCUAUGUAUCUCGUUAUUACUUGUGCCCACUUGGACCUAGUGAGGAGAUCGGCGGAGUCGGCGGUCGAGCCCACUGGGAACUAUGGAAGAUAGUUCUCACUCCACUCUAUUUCCAGGGCUAGGUACAGGUUUGCCGGGCGAGGACCGUGGCAAGGGUAUCGCGCCCGACCAAUGAGAAUUUUUGGUAGAGUAGUAGCUUUCCUUUUGCAUUAGCACACCUAUGUAUUUGAGAGAGAUUUAUGUAGGUGAGGAUUUGGAGAGCUUUGUACUUUGAUGACACUAGUGAACAUGUGAAUAUUUUGGAGAAAAAUGUAAAUGUAAAAGAAUGUGAUGCAAUUGGAUGCAAUUAAUGUAAUAGCUAGUAGUUCUCUCUUUAUUUCACUUGUGUAUCUUGUGGAUUACUUGCUCUUUGUUGUUAGCACUGUUUGUGCCCCGUUGAUUGUGUACUUAUAGAAUUUAAAAUCCUGAGUAAAUUCUUAUACUCGAUCUGUUGUUCAGCCUUGGGCGGACAAGGGAGGUGCUGUCCGUUCGGCGUCCGUUCGCCGCGCCCAAACCGUGACAAAUUGGUAGGGGUUUCGGGGUAGGGGCAUGACACCGAGAACCUCAAAACCUGCUAACAUGGAGAAGAGAAAAGAAAAGAGAUCAAUUCUAUCAAGUUUCCCCAAAAAAAUUGGAAAAAAAUCUAGAGAGAGAAAGAGAAGAAGUUUACCUUUUUUUCCUCAUGUCCAAACACACUAGAAGGCAGCUGGGGGUCGGUUUGGGGAUAUACAUGCUGCAAAAAUUACCAAAAACCCUUUUACCAACUCAAUUUGCUGCAUUGAUUACCGGUACUCGAGUUGAGGUACCAGUACCAGGCACUUAAACAUGCCAAACUCGAGCGCAGAGCCAUCAGGUUUAGUGCAGUACUGUACCGGUACUAGCUCAAUGCAAUACGGGUACCCUGCCCAAUAACGGUACUCACUGACUCGGUACCGGUGCUCAACACCAAUCUCUCAAAACCCGAGAGCUACCCAUUUUGGUAACCCUCUGGGGUACCUGUACCCCACUCAAGUACUGGUACUCGGCACUCAAAAUCUGUAAUUUGCAGAUUUUAGUGUCGGCAAUCCAUUCUCGCACUUAGAACACCUAAGUUAAAUGUCGGUACACUCUUAGCAACCCUCAAAAUAGCUAGAAUAGUUUCACUUACUAUUCUAACACCAGAACCUUACAAUUUGCUAAAACUCAGUGUACUACAAAAAUUAAAUUGGAAAUCCAUAUAAAUUUUCGGGUUGACUUUAAAUCAAUGUUAUCUUAUAAAAAUAUCAUAAGUGAUCACAUACUAUAUGAUUAGGAUGUUGUGGCUACUUCUAAAUAUAGUUGAUUUCACAUUAAUCUUUAUAUGAUAUUGAAUGAUCCAAAAAAUUUCAUAUUGUUUCAAAAUGCAGCAGAAAAGAAUAAAAGUCUAGAGUAAUUUUUUUAACAACUUUAUGUGACUCAAAAUUUAUAAACUGUAUGAAGUCUAUAUAUUCUACUCUAAAUUUUUUAUGAUCACCUUAUGUGUGUUUAGAAUAAUAACGUAAAAAAUUACACUGCAAAAAAUUAAUCUAAACACAUUACUUUAUAUCAUGAAUAAACUAAUGAGUAGUAUAAAAAUUAAAUAUCUUCCGUAAUUUUGAUGUAAACUUCUUUAAUAAUAAGUCACAUUAUGAAGAAAAUUAUAAAGCAAAAUUAUAUAUAUACAUUUACACGCGCGCGCGCGCGCGCACACACAACAAUUUAUAUUAUAUAUUUUAUAUUAUAUUAAUUUAUAUAUUAUAUUUUAUAUAAAUAUAUAUAUUAUAUAUAUAUAUUAUAUUAUUAUUAUAGAGUCUGGUGCUAUUGUAUCAAUAGCACAAAGCACUUGGUGCUAUUAGUUUUCUACGUUAGGUUAAUCUUAUGAUUAUUUUUAAUGUUAGAUUUAUACUAUUCAACCAACCACCAACCCACGUCAAACCCUAGGUGGCCAAAUAAUCUAGCGCACAUUUUAUUUUAUUAGAGCAGAGAUUAUGCAUAAGUCAAUUGGUGUAUAUAUGUUUCCAGCUAGUUAGUAUAUACAUUAUAUCAAUUAUAUAUAUAUAUAUAUAUUAGAGAGAAGAGAAGACGGGGAGAGGAGAGAGAGGAGAGAGGAGAGAGAGUAAGUGCUUUUGCUAUCGGGAAGGACGGCUUCCGUGUUUCAGCUGUUUUCGAAUGUUGCGACUUUCGAUAUCGUCGAUCGGCUUCUGGUAAAUUGAUCUAGAGUAUUGGUACUAGAAAUAUAUUUUAUUAUUUUUGAGUAUCAUUUGCUAGGUUGAUCGAUGGGCUCAAAAUCAUAAAUUUUCAAUGGCUUGUAGUGAGCCGUUUGCAAGUUAACGGAUCCUGUAGAAAUAUUCCAAACACUAGUGAAUUUGAUAGAAAAUCGUUAUUACUAUAAAACAAUGAUCGAGUAUCUUUGAUUGAAAUUUUAAUAGUCAUAUUAUUAUUUUUAGAUCUUUUUUUUGCUGUUGAGUUUUGAGAACUUCGUUCAGCUUAGGCAAAUGAUAAUCGUAGAUCAUUAAAAUUUAUUUUUAGGUAUUCAAUAUAGUUAGAUCAGUUUAACGGAGCGAUCGACGAUUCGAAGCGCAACUUUGAAAACGAGCUGGAGCACGGAAAGUGCUCCGUGCUUCCGAUAUGCAUGUACUCCUUAUAUAUAUAUAUAUAUAUAUUAUAUAUAUAUGAGAGAUGAGAGAGAGAGAGAGAGAGAGAGAGAGAGAGAGAGAGGGAGUUGAGCGUAGAUUCUAUCCGAUGCAACGGGGUCCGUUGCACAUUUUUUUUGUGAUAGAGCUUCCAAAUUGACGAUCGGCACCGUUGAACAUGAUCUAUACCACUUAAAGUAUUUAGAAAUCAAAAUUUUGUGUCCACUCGAUGGAUAAGAGAACAAUAUCGAAAAUGUAUAAAAUUUGAUUUCUAAACACUUCAAGUGGUAUAAGUGGUAUAGAUCAUGUUCAACGAUGCCGAUCGUCGAUUUAGAUGCUCCAUCAUCGAAAACACAUGGAUGGCAACGGAGCUCGUUUGCUAUCGAUAGUAUUCUAGCUCAACUCUAUAUAUAUAUAUAUAUAUAUAAUUAAGCUCCUAUGCUUUUGAAAGUACCACGUUAUUAGUGCUUGUAGAUUUUCGGCCAUUAACCACUACAACAAAAAUGGUGUAUAGCGACACUUUUAAAUAUCGGUAUAAAUAAAAAAAAAGUGUUGCUGGCUAAAUUAACGACAUUUUUAAAAAAUAUUGCUAUAUGUGGGGUCGCUAGGUAUAUAAUGACAGUUUAAGCGUGUCGGUAUAAACUAAAAAGAGUGUUGCUAAUUUAUCAACAUUUAUUUAAGCAUUUAGCAAUCGCCGGAACUCUACCUCGUUGGCUGCGGUGGCGGAGGAAGAGGAGAGCGAAGGGCUCUUCGUCUUGAAUUUUAGUGGAUUGAGUGAUGGAAGAAUGAGAGAUGGUGAUUGAUUUUUUUUUUUUCUUUUUUUGUUUGUAAUCGGGCUGAAUGAGCUGGGUGAGGUGGGUUGAGUAGAGUAACAUUUUAUUUUUGGUUGGAUUGAGCUUUAUAUUUAGACCUUAUUAGAUUUUUUUUAAGUUUUGUCAUUAAUGAGACACUUAUAUAAAAGUGUCCCAAACAUAUAUCCCUAUAGCCUAAUUAUGUUGUAGUGAUUGGAUUAAGAGAUGUGCGGUUAAGAUGAUGUGGAUCCCCUAAGGUUGAGUGGGUUGUUGGUUGAAUAGUAUAAUCUAACGGGUGAAAAUGAUGAAAGGCUUAAAUCUAAUGGUAAAAAAUUUAUAAGUAUCAAAUGUUUGGUAUUUUUACAAGUACCAUAGCCGGACUAUAUAUAUAUAUAUAUAUAUAUAUUUAAUAUAAAUUAAAUUUUAAUCGACUUAUUGCGAUAUGUGCAAUUUUACUAUGGUACUUUACCGCAGGACUUAAUUUUUCCUAAAUUUCCAAACAAAGCCUUAGCGCUUGCUUGAUUCACUUGUCUUUUGAAAUAGCUUUUCUAUUAAAAAAUUAGAACUAGUAAUAAUGCACUUGAUACACAAACUAACUAGGUUUCAUUUGGAAUUGCAGGCAGAAUGCAUUUCAUACAAUGAGAAAAAAUAUUUAUUUCUAAAAAAUAACAAGCUGGUUAUAUUGUAUUGAUUGGAUGAAGAUAUAAUGUUUCGGGGCUGAUUUGAUUCCUCAAAAAAAUAUAAAAAAAAAAUUCCGCGAAAAACAGCAUUUUAUUACUAACUCUUUUUUCAGUUUCCGCCAAUUUGGUUUUAAGAAAACUAAUUUUUUUGAAAAUUUUUUUCAAAAAAUUUCAUAGAAAACUGGUGCUUUCAUUUUUCGACAAAAAAAAAUUCUGAAAACAAAAAUCCUAAUUUUUUAUAAAAUUUUAAAAGAAAUUUUUAGAAAAUUAGUUUUUCUCGAAACUAACCAGUCGGAAAACUAAAAAAAAAAAUCCAUAAAAUACUUUUUCGUCGAAAAUUUUUUUUUCCAAGUUUUUUCAAGGAACCCAACACUCCCUUGUGGUCCCACAUAAAAAAAAAAUGCCAAAUUACAAAAAAUUCUCUUUAAAUAUCCUCUCUUUUUUUUUUUUUACUUUUUUUCUCUGAUUUUUACAAAACUUUAUUUUGUUCUCUUAAAAUUUUAAUAAUGCUUUCAGGGAGAUGCAGUGUUAAGGAAGAGGACAAAAUGAUCAAAUUAAUUUUUAAAUAUAUUUAUGUUGUUUUGAAGGGCAUUUUGAGUAUAAAUUAUAAGAAAAGGACGGAAUAGUGAUGGUACUCUAAUAGAGGGGGGCUAAUGCAACCACUUGAAAUGCUGAUAUGGUUAAAUAUAGAUUUUUGAAAAUUAAAAAUGAAAAGUGAAAAAAAAUGGAGCAUUUAUAAGAAAGUUUAUGUAAUAUUUAGCUAAAGAAAAAAAGGAGGAGAAAUAUCCCUCUAUAUGCUUCUCCCCAACUCAUUUUGGCAUAGUAGCUCUAAACAACCUUCAAUGUCAAAACUCAAAAGGGUCCUUUCAUCAGAGUUUUUGCUGUAGGGAAAAGCAGUAAGAAUUAAAGCUUAGUGAAGGUUUUAGUGAAACAGCUAGCUAUGAGAGCACCAAAUUCAUAUAUGCACCUCUUGCUUUAGCGAAAAGCUCCAAUUGGACCAAACAGAUUUUUUUUUUUUUUUUUUCUGAGAGAAAGAUACGUAGUAUGCUACCCGUUUUGUUUAAGAGCACUACAACAGAAUUAGAUUAUAGGGACAAAUGUUUGGGACACUUUUGUCUAAGUGUCCCAUUUAUGUCAAAGUUUUAAAAAAUAUCUACUAAUGCCUAAAUAUAAAGCCGAAUCCAACAAAAAAUAAAAUGUUACUAUAUUCAACUCAUCCAACUCAGCCCAUUUGGCCCGAUUCCAAAUAGAAAAGAAAAAAAAAAAAAAGAAAAAUCGAUUACACCAAUCUCCCCUUCUCCUCACUAAUCCACAUGGAAAAAUCCAGAUAAGAGCCAUCCCUUCGUCCAUCCACCACGCCAGCCAACGAGGAAGUCAGCGUUGCAGAUACUUAAAUAAUUUGCAAAUUAGCACACUAUUAAUAUACGACCUUUAACUCACAAAUAUUAGCGACCCCACAUAUAACACAACUUUAUAAAAUACACAGUAAUUUAGCCACAACACUUUUUGACCUAUAACCGACAGGUAAAAGUCGCUAUAGACUUUGUGUAGGAGCAGAAACUGAAUCAACCAGAAACGAUACUUGGCNNNNNNNNNNNNNNNNNNNNNNNNNAGAGAGAGAGCUUGAGCCAUAAGAAUACUAUCGAUAGCAAAACGGCUCGUUGACCAUCCCAUUUAUUUUUGAUUGAUAGACUCCAAUCGAGACGCACGCUUGAACAUGAUCUAUACCACUUAAAGUAUAUAGAAAUCAAAAUUUGUGUCCACUCGUAUGGUAAGAGAAACAAAUAUUCGAAAUGAUAAAUUCUAAUUUCUAAACACUUCAAGUGUAUAAUGGUAUUAAAUUCAUGUUCAAACAUAUGCCCGAUCGUCGAUUUAAUGUCCAUCAUCGAAAACACAUGGAUCGGCAACGGAGCUCGUUUGCUAUCGAUAGUAUUCUAGCUCAACUCUAGUUAUAGAUAUAAUAUAUAUAUAAUAAGCUCCUAUGUUUGAAAGUACCAAGUAUAGUGCUUUAGAUGUUUCGGCAUUAACCACUUUCUUUAAAAAUUAUUUUUUUUUUUUUUUAAUUUUUUUAAUUUUUUUUUUUUUUUUUUUUUUUUCCCUUAACUUUUUUCUCAUUUUUUUUUUUUUUUUAUUUUCUUUUUGUAGCUUCUUAAACCUUUUUAGCUUCUUUAAUCUCUUUUUUUUUUUUUUGUUUCUUUAAAAAAACAAAAUGGUGGUUAGCGACACGUUUUAAUUAUCCGUAUAAAUAAAAAAAAAGAUGUUUGCUGGCUAAUAUUAACGACAUUUUUAAAAAUAUUGACUAAGUGGGGUCGACUAGCGUUAUGAAUGAAGUUUAACGUGCGAUAAACUAAAAAAGCUAGUGUGGCAAUUUAUCACAUUAUGUUAGAUCUAGACAAUCUGCCGGAACUCUACCUGCGGCCGAGGCCGGUGCGGAGGAAGAGGACGAGCGAAGUCUUCGUCUUGAAGAUUUUUAGAUGAUUGAGUGAUGGAAGAAAUGAGUAGAUGGUGAUAUGAUUUUUUUUUUUUCUUUUUUUGUUUGUAAUCCGGGCUGAAUGAGCUGGGUGAGUCGGGUUGAGUGAUAACAUUUUAUUUUUGGUUCGAUCUAGAGUUUAUAUUUUAGGCCUUAUUAGAUUUUUUUUAAAUUUUGAUUAAUGAACACUUAUAUAAAAGUUCCCAAAAUAUAUCCCUAUAGCCUAAUUAUUGUUGUUAGUGAUUGGAUUAAAGAGAUGUUCGGGUUAAAAUGAUGUGGAUCCCCUAAGUUGAGUGGUGUUGUUGGUUGAAUUAGUAAAUCUAAGUCGGUGAAACGUGAAAAUGAUGAAGGCUUAAUCUAAUGCUAAAAUAUAUUUAUAUAGUAAUCAAAUGUUUGCGUAUUUUAAAGCUUACCAUAGCCGGACAAUUAUAUAUAUAUAUAUAUAUAUAUAUAUAUAUAUAUAUAUAUUCUUUUUCAUUAAAAAAAAUAAUUUUUUUUUGGUUUUACUGCCACCUAGGCAGCCAGUUAUAUAUCCUUUUUCAUUAAAAAAAAAAACUUUUUUUUGGUUUGACUGCCAACUAGGCAGCCGCAUUACCGGCUGCCUAGUGCGGCCCUAUAGCGGCCGCUCGAGAUUGGUGCGGUGAUGUGCUUCCACCGCCCGGCCAACCGCCCAGCAUGAUUUUUUUUUUUUUUUUAACUACUUGAAUCGCUUAAUGCUGUCGGACCGGUGACACUAUUCCUCCGCCGGUCUCGAUUUUGACCGGCCGAUGUCACCAUUAACGCAAACCAUUCAGUGUAUUUAUUUUUUUUUUAAUGAAAAGGAAAUAAAAAAAAAUCUAAAAGUAACAAAAAUUCAGUAAUAUAUGUGGCUCUGAUACCAGAUGUUGAAACUUUAUUAGAAACUAAAAUCGUACAUUUUGUCAUAAUUUCGAUUUAUGUACUCGAUUUGUAGGAGGCGAUUUUUUUGCUUGUGGUUCAUUCUCGUUCACGAUAUGCAAGAGAGCAUAACGUUUCGAUUCUAAUUUCCUUAUCUCCGAAGAUGGAGUCGUUACAGAAAAUUUGUAUUAGGUUUAGACCGGGACUUCCAUAUGUUACAUAUUUAUAUAUAACUUGAUGUAAGGAUGUUAAAUCACGUCCGUCCAUCAAGGGCGUAUCCAGAUGCAUUAUAAUCGUUAAAUUUACCAUAUCUUUAUAGAUCGACUUGAAUAGACCGACUGUAUCUUUAUAUAUUGCCUUGAAUAAAUUAUGAAGGAUAAUCCAACAUAUAGAGCUCUUUUUACUCAUAUGUUGUUUUCAAUGAUGGAGCGUUCGAAUCGAUGAUCCACACCGUUAAAUAUGAUUUAGUAUAUUUGAAACUUCAAAAAAAUAAAUCUCAUAAUUUUUUAAAGUUAUAAUAAAGCCCAUCAAAAGGGCAUAAGAUGAACGGUCAAAAUUAAACGAUAUUCUAAAAAUAGAUGAUCGGAUCCUUCAGCCUAAGAUAUGAGUUUUUGAUAUUUAUCUAAAUAGUGAAUAGACUUUUUUUUAUCAAAAAUUCAACCAAAUUUGAUUAUUUUACACUGUUAAAUUAGCAAGUAUCCCAUAUCGGCCGUUAAAUAUUAUUAUUUUUGAAAUAUUUUAGUCGUAAGAUAAAUAAUUUUGUAAAAUUAUAAAAUUUAAUAUCUAAAAGUUUCAAAUACUAUAAAUUAUGUUUAACAGUAUAAAUCGUUGAUUCAAAAAUUUCUCAUCGAAAAUAACUUAUAGACAAAAAAAUGAUUUUACUCAUAAGAUUAUAAUAGCUAAACUCGCUAUCACUUUCUCUCUCUAUAUAUAUAAUGUUUAUGUAUGUAUAUAUCUGAGCAAUGUUGGUGGUACACCUCUUUAAGGGAUGUGACUAGUGGAUAUCCCCUCACCCUUAGAUGGGUGGGAGGUAUCUUAUACACCCUGAUUAUAAGAAGCAUUUUUUUUUUUGAGAGAUAGGUAGCAUGCUAUCCGUUUCGUUUAUUUCAUUUAGAAAUAAACUUAGCUCAAAAUGUGAAUUAAUUAGGAUUAGAAUUUGGAUCUCGGGUACCAACCACCAAGCCCUUUGCCACUUGCUCUAGAAACGGUCGGUUACAAAAAGCAUUUUCCAUUAAUAUAUAUAUAUAUAUAUAUAUAUAUAUAUAUAUAUAUAUAUAUAUAUAAUUAUUAAUAAUUAUAUAUUAUAUAUUAUAUAUAUAUAUAAAUAGAGCUAAUUGUGGAUGUGCUGUACAUUGCAUCAACCAAUCACACAGAUGGGUUAGGACCGUUCACGAGAUCUGCAUGACUCCAAUCGUCAACCAGCUUAUAAAAAAACAAAGGUACUCACGGACCGGAGUCUGCUAGCUCAUGCAUGCGUAGUCCCACACCGUUAAUUGCAUGCACCGGAAGUACCUUCUUGGUGUCACAGACCAAUUAAUUAGCAUUGUAAUUCUAAAUAUAAAUCGGUCGAUUCCCCAUAUUAAAAUACUUAUAUAUUAAGUUUAAAAUAUUCUGAUAACAUUUUUUUUGUGCUCUUAUUAUUUCUAGUGACUAUGAUUAAUUAUAUUAUAUAUAUACUAUAUAUAUAGUAUAUAUAUAUAUUAUAUAUAUAUAGAGCUCGGCCUACUAUCUAUUAAUAGGAUUGGAGCCAUUGUCCUAUAAAGUCGUUUUGAUUUGAUCGGAAAUCAAAUUGAUAAUCCGGCACCGUUGAAAUUGAUCUACACAAUUAGAAAUGUUUAGAAACCAAAUUUUGUAAUAUUUAAAAAUUAUUAUCUAAGUUCAUCUUAAAGUUAAAACAUGAACGUCAUAAAUGAAUAACUUCUUAAAAUAGAAGGCUAGACUUUCUCAAUUCAUAUCAGAGUUAUCAAAAAUUUUCUAAAUAGUAUAAAAAUUUUCUUCAAAAAUUCAAGCAAUUUGGAUUGUCUACACGUUAAACAGCAAAGGCUCAUAUAUGCCAUCAAAAAUUGUCGAUUUUACGACACUUGGAUCACCUGUAAAUAAUUUUAAAAUUAUGAAUUUAGUUUCUAAAUAUUUCAAAUACUCAUGAUAACUUUAACGGUUCGAUCUAUCGAUUCGGAAUCUCGAUCAUCAAGAACAACUUGAUAGGAAAGGCUCCUAUCUAUUAUUUAGGAUAGUAGCUCUAGCCUAUAUAUAUAUAUAUAAUAUAUUAUAUAUAUUAGUCGGCUACUAGUAUAUAUUGAUAGUACCAAGCCUUGGUACUAUAGAGUUUUUCUACGUUAGAUCUACCUGUGAUCAUUUCCACCCGUUAGAUUAUAUAUUAAACUACCACUCAUUCAACCCUAGGGGACCACUUAUCCUAACCGCACAUCUUUCAAUCCAACGGCCAAAAACUCAUAGUAAAAGGCUUUGUACUAUGAUAGUAUAGGAGCAUAAUUCUAUAAUAUAUUAUAUAUAUAUAUCUAUAUAUAUAUAAUAUAUAUUAUAUAUAUAUUAUUUUAUAUAUGAGUGGGAUACUAUGCUUCUAAAAGUAUAGAGCUUUCCGUGCUUUUAGGUCGUUUUAAUGUUGCAUGAUUUUGAAUCAUCGAUCGGCUCGCCAUUAAAUUUGAAUCCAGAGUAUUUAAAGUAUUUAGAAAAUAAAUUUUGUAAUUUUUCGAUAUCAUUUAUUUUAGUGAACUAAGGGGCUUCAAAAUAUCCGAAAAAAUUGCCAUGAUUACCUUAACGUAUGAUAUUAUUUGUGAGUUACCUAAAUAUCAAAAAUUGAAUGAUUACCUUAACUAAUGCAUAUGCUUUCAUUUCAAAAUAGCCUACAGUCGAAUGAGCAAGUCUAUUAUGCAGUAUUUAUACUACAUUAUUAAUAUCCAUUCAAUCAUAUUUCUCAUUUUGAGAGAAAACUAUAAUAAAAAUAGUUUUCAAUAACUAUGAUAGGGAUGAUAAAAUUAAGGGAAAUAAUUGAUUGACACAUCAGUAGUACAACUGAUGCAUUUUAGACUUUUUUUCAUUGAAGGGCUCUCCAUGCAUUUUGACCUGAUCAGAAAAAUGCAUUUUGACCUUAGGAAAGAAAAGAAAAAAAAAAUGCCCUGUACAGUGUUUGAGUUUGGAGUAUACGCUGCGGUGCAAGCAUUAUUUUCUCCUUUCCAGUAAGAGUUGUAGACCUCUCUGGAUCUCCCUCCGCCCCCGUCCCCUGAUCACCGGUCGCGACCGAAUCAGGUCACUCACCCCACUCUUAUGCGAUUUUAGGCACUUCACAUGGCCUCCAAGCUGGACUAUUUUAUCGUUUCCUCUCUCCUGCCCCAUAUAUAUAUAUAUUGACAAGAGUUUCCGCUUGCGAGAGAAAGCUACGUACGUACGUACAAUUAAGUAUUGCAUGCAAACAAGCACUUCUUCUCCAUAUAUACUCACCCGGAACAUUAAUUCUCUCUUGACAUGAAGAAAACAAAUUACUUUAGUUGAUAUCCCUUUUAAUUGACGCAAGGCAAAUAUUGUCAUUUAUUAAGCACAAAGUGAUACACAUGAAAUAAUUAAUUAGAAGGUAAAACCUCUCGAGAAUUAUAAUUAAUGGAGAAGAGUUCUCUCGUAAAAAUAAUAAAGUAGCUAGGGCCCUUGCCAGCCAAGUAUGGAAUCAUGAGAUGCAUGUAGUCCAACAGUUUCUGGCUCUCCUAUUUGUAUCUUUUCUCAUAUGAGAUAAAUUUGGUUAAUAAAGGACCCCACAGAUAGCUGAGGGGAAUAUUUAGCAUCUUACUUGUGCAACAUGUUAAAUGGAAGUUUCUAUUACCUAGCUAUAAAAGAUUGAUUUGAUGAUAAACAGUGCAAGAAUAAUUUUAAUGUCUUCUUUGUUAAAGAUAAUGCUAAUGAGAUUAGGAUUAGAUUAUUUGAUAUUAUCCAUUAUUAUAUUCGGUUAUUGUUAAGAUAUAUUCGGUUAUUUAGAUUAUGUUUAAGAUGAAAUAAAAUCAGAGUAGGAUUCUAUGUAAUUAGUAUAAAUAGGUAGGCCGGAAUUAUUUUGUUAACAAAGCCGAGAGUCGCCAUAAUUAAUUAGCGCUCGCCGAAGGUUGCAUAUGGUGAUAAGUUAUUUUCUUCAAUAAAGUUAUUUUUAGUUUUGCUUCUAUAACAACGUACCAUAUUCUUUGAUUUGUCUUCUUCCUCUCUUGUUUUUUCUAUUUUACUUUUUGGGGGAUCUCUAUGUACCAUAACAGGUAUAUAGAACGUAUUUGUUGGUGGCCCACCACCGUAACAAGUGGUAUCAGAGCCUGAAUUUCGAGAGGAGAAAGUGUCGAUGGCGUUUAACAGCGCUAACGGAGUUGAACAAGGAUUCCUGAUAUUCAAGGGGGAUAAUUAUGAUUUUUGGUGUGUGAAGAUGCGGACGUUGCUGCGAUCCCAAGAUUUAUGGGAUUUUGUCGAAAAAUGAUGUAAGGAAACAACCGGAGAGAAUCUAGAAAAAGAUGCAAAGGCGCUUUUCUUUAUUCAGCAAUCAGUUGACGAUUCGAUAUUUUCCUACAUUGCCGGUGCUACUCAAUCAAAGGAAGCAUGGGAUAUAUUACAGAAGGAAUAACAUGAUAACGAAAAGGUACUCAGAGUUAAGAUUCAAACUUUAAAAAGAAGAUUUGAAACUUCUUUUAUGCAAGAAAAUAAAAAUAUUCAUUUUUUUUAUUCUAAAGUUAUGGAAUUAGUUAUCUUGGUGCGUAUAUAUGGUGAACAGAUUACUGAUCAAACAGUAGUCGAAAAAAAUUUUAAGAAGUCUAACGAAAAAAUAUGGUUAUGUUGUUUCUGCCAUUAAAGAGGCAAAAGAUUUAUCUAAAUUAUCUUGUAGCGAACUUCUUGGUUCUCUUUUAGCACAUGAGAAAGGAAAAGGUAGAACUAAAAAUUUUUCUGAGCAUGCUUUUCAAAGUAAAUCGAAAAGCGAUGAAAAAGAUGGUGCAGAUUCUCUUAAUUGUCAAGCUUCAGCAUAUAGUGGACAUGGUAGAGGCCGUGCUCGUGGCUAGGGCAAAGACCGCGGAGGUAGAUCCAGUGAUUUCAACAACAGAACGAUGAAAGAUCUGGUAAUCAAAAUCAGAUAACCUACGGAGGUAACUAUCAAUCCCACAAUCGUAAAAAUAUUCAAUGUUAUUAUUGUAAAAAAUUUGGCCAUAUCGAGUGCUUUUGUCGAUUGAAACAGCAGAAUGUGAAUUUUGUUUAUGAAAAAAAUGAAAACGAUAAUGUACUUUUUGCAUGUCGUUUAAUAGAAAAAACUGCUAACAAUAUUUGGUAUGUCGAUAGUGGUUGUAGCAGUCACAUGACAGGAAAAGAAGAAAACUUUAUUAAUUUGGACAAAUCAGUUAAAGGCCGCGUGACAAUGGGUGACGGCUAUGUCCAUGAUGUGCACGGAAGAAGUACAAUUGCGGUAAAUAUUUUCGGAAUACAAAAAAUAAAUAAUGUCUUAUAUGUUUCAGGAUUGAAUUUCAAUCUUUUUAGUGUGGGUCAAUUUUUGAAAAAAGGUCAUUCACUUAUUUUUGAAGAUUCUAAAUGUAUAAUUUAUGGAGAUAAAGAUAAAAAAAAAAUUUAUUUUUUGAAAUUCCGAUGACAGAAAAUAAAGUUUUUCCUAUUUAUAUUGCAAUGAAAGUAGUGCUAGAUGAUGAUUGGUUAUGGCACUAUCGAUAUGGUCACUUGAGUUUUAAGGGACUUGAUCUUUUACAUAAAAAGAAUAUGGUUGAUGAUUUGCCUUUGGUGCAUAACAAUGGUUCUAUAUGUGAAAGUUGUAUGCUAGGAAAGUAUCAUAGGGACUCUUUUACGAGAAAAGCAAUUGGAGAGGCAAAGAACCAUUAGAAUUGAUAUAUGCAGAUAUAUGUGGACCGAUGCAGACACCGUCGCUCAGCAAUAAUUACUACUUUGUAGUUUUCGUGGAUGAUUAUAGCCGGAUGACUUGGGUUUAUUUUAUCAAAAAUAAAUCCUAGGCUUUUGAUGUUUUUUAGAAAUUUAAAAAUUUAGUUGAGAAUGAAUCCGGUUAUUAUAUUAGGACCCUCCAUACAGAUCGAGAGGGAGAAUUUAUUUCUAAUAAGUUUGAAAAUUUUUAUAAGGCUAAUGGUAUCCACAGGCAGUUGACAACCAGUUACACGCCUCAGCAGAACGGUGUUGCAGAGCGCAAAAAUCAAAGUUCAGUCGAGAUGGCAAAAAGCAUGUUGAAAGCGAAAAAUCUCCCGAACAAAUUUUGGGCAAAAACGGUAUCUACUAUAUCAUAUAUUCUCAAUAGAAGUCCAACUUUAGCGCUUGAGAAUAUUAUACCUUAUGAAGCAUGGACCGGCUGGAAACCGAAGGUAAAACACUUUAAAAUUUUUGGAUCGGUUUCUUUUGUUCAUAUCCCAUCACAAAAUAUGCAAAAAUUGGAUUAUAAUAGUCAGAACUGUAUUUUUGUUGGAUAUAGCGAAAGAAGUAAAGCUUAUCGAUUUUAUAAUCCUGCUACUAACUCUUUAAUUAUAAGUCGUGAUGCUAUUUUUGAUGAACAAAAAGCUUGGAAUUGGAGCGCAAAAGUGCAGGAUAAUCCACUUUGAUACUCGAAAAUGAAACUGCAACUGAAAAUAGAAACAAUGGUGAAAGUACGACAAGUACAGAAACAACAACACAAGCUUCACCGCAAAUUUCACCAGAAACUUCUCCAGAGACGACGCCAAGAAAAAUAAGAUCACUUAGUGAAAUAUACGAACAGUGCAUGUAUUCACAAUGUGGAUAAUUACAAAAUUUCGAAAAGGCGACAAAAUCUAAUGAUUGGUGUAAGGUGACGAACAAAGAAAAUGCAGUGUUAAGAAAAAAUAAUAUCUAUAAGUUUGAUGAAUCGCCUAUAGAUAAAGAAAUUAUUGGAUAUAAGUGGAUAUAUAAGGCAAAAAGGAUAUUGAGAGAUUUGAAAGGAACAAGAGACCACCGGUUGUGGUAUACUAACCCUAAUGAUUUUUAUUUUGGUUGUUUUAAUAGUGAUUGGACAGGUUCAGUUGGUGAUCGAAAAAGUACGAGAAGGGUUCGAGUUGAUACACUACCGCAACCGAGGAGCAGAUGACCGAUAUUUUCACAAAGCCACUACCAUUGGAGAAAUUCAUAUUUUGCCGAGAGAAGAUCGAUGUGAAGAACAUUAGCAUUAUGGGGGAGUGUCAAAGAUAAUGCUAAUGAGAUUAUGAUUCGAUUAUUUGAUAUUAUCCAUUAUUAUAUUCGGUUAUUGUUAAGAUAUAUUCGGUUAUUUAGAUUAUGGUUAAGAUGAAAUAGAAUCAGAGUAAGAUUUUAUGUAAUUAGUUAUAAAUAGGUAGGCCGGAAUUAAUUUGUUAAUGAAGCCCGGAGUUGCCAUAAUUAAUUAGCGCUCACCGAAGGUUGCAUAUGGUGAUGAGUUAUUUUCUUCAAUAAAAUUAUUUUUAGUUUUGCUUGUUUGACAACGUACUAGAUUUUUUGAUUUGUCUUCUUCCUCUCUUGUCUUUUCUAUUUUACUUUUUGUGGGAAUUUCUAUAUACCAUAACAAGUAUAUAGAACGUAUUUGUUUGUGGCCCACCGCCGUAACAUCCUCAGCAUAGUGGCGUAUAAAUGUGAGCCGUCGCACAUAUAUUGACCAAAGUGAUAAGUGAGAUGAUAAGUUAAUGUGAAUCCAACUCAUUGAAUACUAGACAUAUAUAAGGGAUUGAUCCUAAGGCCUUAGAACCAACCAGCUUUGAAACAACUAUGUUACCUAAAAAACUGAUCAAAUAGAAAAUUAUAACUCGAUUGAGUUGUUAGACAGCGAAGCGAGAAUAGUCUUAAAAAUUGAAAGGUGCACGCGGAGUUAGGAGAGUAGUACAUCUUGUCUACAAAAAAGGACAUUAGCAAACUGUUAUUUCUCAGAAUGUAACAUGCAAUACUCUUCUCAUGAGUGGCUGGUAGUGUUAUAUUAUUGCAUUGACAUCAGAUAGAAUUGUAGUUUUUCUCUUGUAUUUAGGAGAAAUGUUGGCCCUACAAUUAUUUUUUGGUUGUAAUUCUACAACUAUAUCAUCUAUGAAGCCAUAUUAAUAAAUCCAAAGGGUUAGAUCCUAUAACCCUUUGGGGGCUAUAGACUUAACAUUUUUCUGUAUUUAUUAUCGCUAUCUUGCGUGCCUUUCCCUUCAAUAAGUAGGCUUACUCUUCCAAAUGCACCUAAUUUGGCACGUGGUCUCAAAUUAUGCUAGUAAUGACAAUUUUUGUAUUCUAGUUCAUUAAUUAUAGGUUAAUGAGCUUUACAUUCAAUAUUUCAAUAAUUAUUAAUAAUUAUUAUUAAAUUAUAUUAGUUAAUAAAGAUCCUAUAGGUUUCAAUGUCAUUUUAUCUGCGACUAAAUACUUAUUUGCUAAUUGAAAAUUUUAUUAACAUGUAAAACAAAUUAUUUAUGCAUGUCCAAUUUUACGUUUAGACUUUUCUUAUUUUCAGCAUGAAAAAUUAUUUAUGCAUGUCUAAUUUUACGUUUAGACUUUUCUUAUUUUCAGCGUUUCAUGUUAAAAGCACAUUCACUAUUCACUAUGUGCAAUAAUAAGUGGUACUAUUCCUGUUUGUUAUAUUUAUUGUAAGUAAUUUCGACUUGCAACCAUUCUUCCUUCCUUUGAUAAACUCCUCUACUCUUAGGGGUUUUUUUUUUUUUUUUUUUUUUUUUUUUUUUUUUUUUUUUUUUUUUUUUUCCAACAAAUAUGGAUACCCAAAUACAAAUAUUUUUGAACUUCCGAUAAUAGUAUUUAGCAUUAUUUUAUUUUUUAUUUCUUUUCAUAUUUGUGCAAUAUCAUAUACAUAAUUUUCAAUUUUAUAUAAAGAAUAUACCCCGAUCUCUCUAUUUAACUUUUGAUGAUCAGGUACUGCUUCAUGAUUUCUGAUUUUCCUGUAAGUAUUAUAUCCAGAAUCCGGAUUGAUCUUUCUAUUUAACUUUUGAUGAUUAGGUAUCGUUCCAUGAUUUCUGAUUUUUCUAUAUUCAAUUUUUUAUUUCUCUUUUGCAUCUGUUAUCUUGAAAACUUUAUUUACAUUUAUAUUAAAACUUUCUAUCACAUAUAAUCACUACAACAGAAUUAGGUUAUAGGAACACAUAUUUGGGACACUUUGAGUAAGUGUCUCAUUUAUCCUAAAACUUAAAAAAACAUCUACUAAUGCCUAAAUAUAAAGCCCAAUCAAACUAAAAAUAAAAUAUUACUCUACUCAACCCACCACACCUAGUCCAUUUCGCCCGAUUACAAACAGUAAAAAAAAAAAAAAAUCAAUUACCAUCUUUUCUUCUCUCUUCACUCAAUCCACUGAAAUUCUAGACGAAGAGCCUUUCCUGUCGUCCUCCUCCACCACCACAGCCAACGAGAUAGAGUUUCGGCGGUUGCUAAAUGCUUAAAUAAGUGUUGAUAAAUUAGCAGCACUCUUUUAGUUUAUAACGACACUCUUUAACUGUCGCUAUAUACCUAGCGACCCCAUAUAUAGCAACAUUUUUUAAAAGUGUCGGUAAUUUUAGCUAGAAGCACUUUUUUGACAUGUACCUACAUUUAAAAGUGUUGCUAUAGACCGUUUUUGUUGUAGUGAAUGUAAAGACAAACAAUUUAGACCUCAUAUAUAAUAUAUACACAUACACUUAAUCCAUAAAAUUACAAUUCAUGAAAUGCACAAAUUUCAUACUAGUAUAUAUAAGUAUUACUAUAUACCAGAUAUAGCUAGCCCUAAUUCAUACAGCAUAUAAUAUAAUUCAUAAUAAGAAUAUACGUGAGGAUGAGGAUCGUGUACACCGCAUGUUGACAUGCCUGGGCAUUCUCUUUCAUACCGUGCGAUUUAUUUUUGUUUGUUCAUUCUAAAGAGGCCAAGCAUGCCGUUGGAGAUCACAUUACUUUCUAAUUAAAUGGACUUAUUCCCAGAUUUGAUAUAUGAGUAAAUUUUGUUACAUAUUGUUGACAACGAAUUUUGUUCAUAAGAUAUGGACAUAUUCGGAGAAGGGAUGUGGGCGAUAGCCGAAUGGAGGUUUCGCUUGAGUAAGAGGGGGCAUAACAAAAGCCAUUUUGAUAAAAAGCUUCAGAGAGGCCUGCAGACAAACCAUUUAAAAUUUAAAUAGAAAAUGUUGAAGAAUUUGAAAAUAGCUGCAACAACAGAGAUGAUUUCAGACAGAGAGAGCGUAACUAUCUCGUGCAAAUCGCUCGGAUGAAUUACAGCUAUGUCAAGCCGGAGUUUAAUAUUGACAACUGGCUACGUAAGGAGGCAUCGAUCGAAACAUAUCCAAUUUUAUCCAUAUUCUCUACUAGUACUAGAUGUAGGCACUACAACAGAAUUAGGUUAUAGGAACACAUGUUUGGGACACUUUUCAGUAAGUGUCCCAUUUAUGCUAAAACUUAAAAAAACAUCUACUAAUGCCUAAAUAUAAAGCCCAAUCCAACCAAAAAUAAAAGAUUACUCUACUCAACCCACCACACCCAGUCCAUUUGGCCCGAUUACAAACAAAAAAGAAAAAAAAAAAGAAAAAUCAAUUACCAUAUUUUCUUCUCUCUUUACUCAAUCUACUGAAAUUCUAGACGAAGAGCCAUUCCUGUCGUCCUCCUCCGCCACCGCAGCCAACGAGAUAGAGUUUCGGCGGUUGUUAAAUUCUUAAAUAAGUUGUUGGUAAAUUAGCAGCACUCUUUUAGAUUAUAGCAACACUCUUUAACUGUCACUAUAUACCUAGCGACCCCACAUAUAGCAACAUUUUUUAAAAGUGUCGGUAAUUUUAGCUAGCAGCACUUUUUUGACAUGUACCUAUAUUUAAAAGUGUCGCUAUAGACCAUUUUUGUUGUAGUGAGGCAUUAUCACUGAGCAAUGGUAACGUAUAGUUCCUCUAUCAUUGACAAGACUGUCCGCCACCAACCACCCCCGCUGAUGCUGAUCAUUGCCCUCAUCGGCGAGUGCAACUCCUGUUGCACGUCUCUGCUACAUGCAGCAUCGUUUCACUGACACGAAUAUAGCUCGAUUUUGGCUCGAAUCAACAGUUGAGAUUUGAGAGGCCGACUGCUUACGGUUCAUCCAACGCCCAACAUCUCGAACGCCUCUUCGAGACCGAGCAGUCUGUUCGGACUAGCUCCUACCGAAGCCUGAAGCAUUGAGUUGUUUGGAAAACUAAAUUGGAGUACUGUACGCUCUUUGAUCAGCCUUGACACAAAGUUAGAUUGCCUUCGGUCAGAGGGACGAGGAAGUCGGACAAACAGAAGCACACCACGCGUCAAUCAGCAAUUCGCUUGCAGCCAACACAUAUAUAAUAUUAGAAAAAUUUAUAGAAAUUUAACUCUAUAGAAUAAUUAGUUAUUUCGCAUAACAUCAAAGUAGAAGUUUAUAAAUUUAGAUCUAACGAGGCAUUCAGAGGAUAUAUAGUUUGACACCCGAGGAUAGAUAAUUUGAUGGAAAAUGGUACCAAAAUUAAUGUAUGGUGGAGAUCAAAAUGAUGAUGAGUACAAUCAACACGCGGUGUCCAUCAUGAUUCCGAAAGAAGUGCCAAGGACACAUCGAAUCAAUUAUAUACUACGAACAUGCGCCACCAGAAUUAACUAUAAUUGAUGAGAGGAAUCCUAUGUACAAAUUGUACCAUUUGAUUAACAGGCAACUAAGAAAUUCUAUCAGACAAUUAUGAACAUUAACAGAAUCACUACAACAAAAACGGUCUAUAGCGACACUUUUAAAUAUCGGUAUAAGUCAAAAAAAGUGCUACUGGCUAAAUUACCAACACUUUUAACAAGUGUUGCUAUAUAUGGGGUCGCUAGGUAUAUAGUGACAGUUAAAGAGUAUCGCUAUAAUUUAAAAAAAUGCUGCUAAUUUACAAAUAUUUAUUUAAGCAUUUAGUAACCGCUGGAACUCUAUCUCGUUGGCUGCGGUGGCAGAAGAGGACGAGAGGAAGGGAUCUACGUCUAGAAUUUCAGUCAAUUGAGUGAGGGGAGGAGGGGAAAUAAUAAUUAAUUUUUCUUUUCUUUUUCUUUUCUUUUUCUUUUUUGUUUAUAAUCGGGCCGAAUGGACUGGGUGAGGUGGGUUGAGUAGAGUAUCCUUUUAUUUUAGUUGGAUUGGACUUUAUAUUUCGGCAUUAGUAGGUUUUUUGAAAAGUUUUGACAUAAAUGUGACACUUACACAAAAAUGUCUCAAACAUGUGUCCUUAUAACCUAAUUCUGUUGUAGUGAAUGAAGAAUAGCGAAAGAAGAAUUUUGCUUAAUUAGUAAUUUUACACCCUCCUUGUUUAGUAAUUUUACACUCUCCGUACUUUCAGGAUCAAUAUUUUCCCACUAGUUUUAUAAUUUUCUUUUUUAUAUUUAAAAUUUUUAAGUGGACUGUUGCAAUAAUUUUACGUGUACAAAUAUUAUUUUUCUCUCUCUCUCCGCUGUAUAUGUCUGAGGAUAAUUACCUCAACUGUGUAAUUAAGGAAUGAGACAAUGAUGAGCGAAAUGAUGGGAACCGAUCUCGAUCACCACCCAGGGAAGGAGCCAACCAACGAAAACUGGCGGUUGCAAGAACUUCACGUGACAUGUCUCAAGGCUUCCCUUCGACCUUUCACACCCCUCUCCCCAAGCACUAUAAAAUCCACUUUAACUUCGUUUAGCAACAUACUGGCAACUAACCAAGCUCCUUACUACUACUACUACUACUACUACUAUUACUACUAGCUAAGGGAGAGAGAGCCCAUGAUGGCCAUGGACUCCUCCAAGAUCACAGCUCUUCUCCUCAUCCUUAUUCUCUCCAUUUCAUCCACCCCUCUAACCCUAGCUUGCGGCUCAUGCCCCACUCCGUCACCGGAGACCCCGAGUGGACCCAUCCUUCCCCCAAUAAUCGGCAAACCACCCAUCACCCUUCCGCCGAUUAUUGGCAAACCACCCAUCACCAUCCCACCAAUCACCGUCCCGCCUAUCACUAUUCCACCGAUCAUUGGCGGCACGCCACCCACAACUGUAAAACCAGGAUGUUCGCCACCGCCUCAGACCUGCCCCAUCGACGCCCUCAAGUUUGGGGUUUGCAUAGACUGCCUGGGCAACGAGAUACAUCUCGGCGACCCGGCAGUGCAGUGCUGCCCACUCAUAAGCGGUCUUGCAGGGGUUGCAGCAGCAGCGUGCUUGUGCACCGCCAUCAAGGCCAAGCUGCUCGACAUCAACAUCUACCUCCCGCUUGUGUUCAAGCUCCUCAUCACCUGCGGCUACUCCAUCCCUCCUGGUUACACCUGCCCGAAUUAAAGUACAAACAGUUCACUUUCUUUGCUGAUUCUUCUUCUGGUAUAUGAACUUUCUUAAUUUGCUUCUUCACUAGUACUGCUGGUGAGAUCAUGCUUGCUCUUUCUUCCACUUAUGCUCCGGUUGGCAAAACUAAAAGAAAGAAGAAAAGAGCAAUAAAAAUGAGAAGAGAGAAUCAUUUUCUUCUUCUCUUCUUCUUCUUCUUCUUCUUCUUCUUCUUCUUCUUCUUCUUUUCUUUUUCGAAGUAAUGCUUAAUUUUCUUUGGGUUUCUUCCUAAAUUUGGAAUAAAGUUUUGGAGAGGAAGAUGAAGAAAUGAAAAGAAAAGAAGAGAAAAUAAGCAACGAAUUAAAAAAAAGAAAUUACACUCAUCCAUCCAAAGGUUUAGACACUUUUUUUGAGUUUUUAAUAUUAAAAAAAUUUGCAUGACUAGUGUGAGAAUAUUAGUAGUUGGAUGAAAAAGUUUGUAAGAUUUAAAUCUACUAUUUGGGAAGUAGCAUUACUCAAAGUAAAAACAGUAACUUACAUCAUCAAAAACUCACUUUAUUAUUAUUAUUAUUAUUAUAAUAUAUUUUUGAUUGUCCAAAUUUUAUAAGGAACACUCAAUUUCUUCUAUCUUCUUUUUUUCUUUUUUCCUUUUCUAAUUUUUCUUUUCAAAUUUUCUUUUCUGAUCUUUUUUUGCUGAUUUUCUUUUCUGAUUUUUUUAUCUGAUUUUCUUUUCUGAUUGUUUCUUUCUUUCUCAUGCUCUUAAUUUACAGCCGAACAGCAAAAUAUUACAGAUUUUAUUAAAGCGUUGAGCAAAAUGUGUAAAUGGUUGAAACUGAUAUACAGAAUCCUUUUGUUCGCAGGGAAAAGGGAGUUAAGGAAUGUUGCUGGAUUAAUUGUAGAUGGUGAUGAGACAUAAGAGGAUGUCAACUCACCCAUGCAUGUGUAUCUUCUGUUUCUUUAUUGGUUCUAAAUUUGUGUUUCCUUGGUGCAAUUUGUUCAGAUGUUCUAUGUUGUAUGGAUUCUUCUCGUUCUAAUUCCUUCAUUUUAAUGUGUACUUUUGUGUCAUGAGAAAUAAAUACCUGGUUUAACUGAAUUAUUGUGUAGAAUGGAAUCAAUAUACAAGUAUUUACCGAAGUUUAGCGACUUUUGCAUAUUGCCUCCUUGAUAUUUAAUCUUCACAAGCAGCUCCUCCAAACUUUAUUAAGUAGUUUAUUUUCACUUCUGUCCAAGCGAAGUUACUAAUGGAAUAGUAGUUUUGGUCGCAUAUCUUGUACAAGAACUUGCAAAAAAUUUCAAAAUACAAAUAAACUUCAUAUUCUCUCUGUUAGAUUAUAAGUUUCUUUAUUAAUUUAUUAUUUAUUUCUUUCGUUGAAAGGAUAUAUUUCUUUGUAAGUUUGUGUCUUUUAGUUUAGGGUUAUGUCCUUUACUGCAGAGAUAUUUGUUUUUGUGAAAAGUUGCAAUGUUUUAUGCUCUAUAAAUGAAGGUCAUGUGAUUUGUUGUUCGUGUGGAUCAAAUUGUACUACAAUUAUACUGAGUUCCUGUGAACUUGAGUUCAGUCAUAUUUAUAUAAAUUUUGUUGUUUUAAUUUUAAAUAUUUUGUAGUUUCUUUAAUAUAGUUUAUAGCCCACCAACAUUUAGCAUCAAAACCAAGUUACUAGAAAGAAACUCUGUCAACAAAUGACCAAUCAACUUCUCCAAACUAAAAUCCCAAAACUAUUCAAAGACAAUUAUGAGAAUUGGUGCAUUCAAAUGAAUACACUUCUUAGAACGUUCUCAAGACCUUCGGGAAUUAGUUAAAACUAAGAUUAAGCAUUUUGAGCCAGUGGUUUGAGUCAAUGAGUUUUAUCGUUAGCAGAUCGGAUCAUUAAAUUUGGUAUCAGAACUAGAACAACAAUAUUCCUUUGGAUUUUCCAUAUAUUGGCUAAUUAAUCUGACACCAUAGCUGAUAUCUGGUCUACCCAUUGUUAAAUAACGAAGACUUCUUAUUAGGCUUUUGAAUAUAAUUGAAUUAAUUUUCUUUCCUAUGUCACUUUUGUUGAGUUUUGUUCCACAAGCAAUCAGUGUGUUGAUUUCUUUAGAAUAUUUUAUUAUAAAUUUCUUCGAAAUACUUUCAGCAUAUCUCUUUUGAGUGAUAAAAGUUUUAUUUUCAUCUUGUUUAACUUUAAUUCUGAGAAAAUAUGACAUGAAGCCUCAUUCUGUCAUUUCAAACUCUCUUAUCAUGAUAUUGUUGAAGUCAUCAGUCAUAUCCUUACUCCGGUGGUUAAUAGAUCGUCAACAUACACGCGUAUGAUCAAAAUUUUCCCUUCUUUUUUAAUUUUUCUUGAUGUAUGUCGCAUUAGGGCAUUUAUAAAAUCUAAUCUUUUAAAGAAAAUUAUCAAGAUGAGUAUUUCAUACUCGUGGAGCCUAUUUUAAAUCAUAUAAACCUUUAUUUAAUCGAUAAACUUUAUCUUCUGUACCUUUUAUUUUGUAGCCAGGAGGUUGUUGAAUAUAAACUUCUUUCUCAAGAAAACCAUUAAGAAACACCAAUUUUUACAUCCAUUUUAUGUGCUUGCCAACCAUGAAAAGCAGCUAUUGCAAGAAUUAGUCGUACUGUAUAUAUCAAGUUAGGCUAUAGUUAAUGCAGUUUCUUCUUGCUCUAUGUGUUCUUGGUACCCAGUUUUAACUAAUUCGCAAAAGUCUUGAGAACCUAGAAGUGCUUUCAUUUGAUUUACAUCAAUUUUUGUAGUUGUCUUUUAAUAGCUUUGGGAUUUGCGUUUGGAGAAUUUGAUUGGCCAUCUGUUGAUAGAUGUAAUUAACAAUUGCAUCACUUGUAGUUAUUAAUAACUAACUACAUAUGUCUCUUGAUGAAAAAGGAUAUUUUAAAAUUAAAAGGUGCGACUCUUAGUUAUGAGUGCCUUUUAGUGUGAAAAGAGAUGUCCUUUCAUGCCUAUAAUAUAUGCACAUUGUAUGGAGAGUUAAAAUUAAAAAUUUAAGUUAACAAGUGUCACGCCCCGGGGUCCUAUUUAAGUUCAAAAACAAAGCGGAAGUGCCAACAUUUUUUUUGUUUUAAAACCUGACCUCCAGGAUAUGCCAGAUCCGCCACAAAUAUAGGGAGUCCAUUGUUCAGACGGACAGAAUCUCCUAUGUAUUUGCACGGCAUCGCACAAGUACAAGAUACAAAUAUCACUAUGCCAAAGACAACCACACAUAUGAACAUCUACAGAUAAUCAUACACCAUUCACAAGCACAUCUUCAACCAGAGUUAUUCAUAAAUCCACAACUAUUAGUUUAAAAUAUUUUCCACCCGGAAACUCAUUUUGAAAACCCUAAGUCAUGAACCAAGAAAACUGUUUUAAAAACUGUUUCCCACACGAAAACCUUUUCCUUUUUAAAACACACUACCACGAGCGGUAGAAAACCGUUUCCAUUUAACAGAAAUCCAUAAAUCCUUUAUUACAUUCAUAAAACACAUGAAUUUAAAAAUAAUAAGUCACUAAACCAACUAAAUAGUCUAAGUCAUUUAUUUAAA